GUUAGGUUUUGAGUUAGGUUAUGAGUUAGGUUAGGUUUUGAGUUAGGUUAGGUUUUGAGUUAGGUUAGGUUUUGAGUUAGGCUAGGUUUUGAGUUAGGUUAGGUUUUGAGUUAGGUUAGGUUUUGAGUUAGGUUAGGUUUUGAGUUAGGUUAGGUUUUGAGGUUGGUUAGGUUAGGUUAGGUUAGGUUAGGUUAGGUUAGGUUAGGUUAGGUUGGGGUCCCCCCGCGGGUUGCUCACCUUGUCGUGGUGGAGGGGCUUAGUAACCGUGGCUUGGUCACCCACGGUGAAGCGAAGAGGCAACCAGGGCCGGCCUGUUUGAGGGUCGGGCUGGCCCGAGGAGGACGCUCCAAGUGGGCUUGUUAAGCCCGCUUGUGACGCGUUGGAGGUGGACCGUCGAGGAAGAGGAGUGUCGGUAUUGCGGUGAGCCGUUCUCCCUAUCCUCGGCGGCCGAGGUGGGAUCGCAGGGGAAGAGGCGUGAUGGUAUUACGAUCGCCAGUCGCCCUAUCCCCUGCGAACUUGGCGGUGCCGUUCCGCUGUAGCGGCGUUGGUGGGGCUGCAGAGGAAGAGGAGUGUCGGUGUUACGAUGUGCCGUUCUCCCUGUCCUCUGCAGCCGAAUUGUGGUUUUGCGACAGAACCAUAGACCUGAUCUGUCGCCGGGCGCCGGAGAACUUUCUGGCGCCCAUGGCUUCCUUGUGGCGGGCUCGGGGGGGUCCGCUACAGUGCAGAACGGAGGCGGAGGAGGAAGGCGCGUCGAACCAUCAUGGCGCGCCUAGCGUGAAGGGCCUUCGGGCAUUUGCGAAGGAGCCGCUCGUGGGCGGCUGCCGCCGGUGGGGUCGCGGAUGAGUACGCAAGCGUUCCUGUAACCCCACCAAUAGUGCGGCGAGGCGGUAUAUGGGGGGUUUUUAGUGGGUAUACCGUGGGCCUCAUUAGCCUAGACGGGAGUCCCACAUAACCACUCGGGUCACCCCCCGCACCCGGGUGGUAUGCGGAAUGCAUUUUCCACCCUAAAAAAAAAAAAAAAAAAAGGU
Long non-coding RNA from Cydia splendana, 1028 nucleotides. RefSeq lists it as uncharacterized. NCBI's taxonomy places the organism in Eukaryota, Metazoa, Arthropoda, Insecta, Lepidoptera, Tortricidae. The transcript is spliced from 3 exons. The record is from RefSeq and is a predicted model, not a curated record.